GCUGCCCAAGUGUCUUUCAUGAACCUCGCUCUUGCCUUUUACCAGAACGAGCAGGAAAUGCGCUUGAACAAGGCAGUUAUCACACUUUUUGGAAUCAUCAUCUCUUCCUGAGGGG
This 115-nucleotide small nuclear RNA is filed under the name Saitoella complicata NRRL Y-17804. RNAcentral's name for it is "U5 spliceosomal RNA". It matches the Rfam family "U5 spliceosomal RNA". From Rfam's summary of the family: U5 RNA is a component of both types of known spliceosome. Lineage: Eukaryota; Fungi; Ascomycota; Saitoellomycetes; Saitoellales; Saitoellaceae. The record is from Rfam by way of RNAcentral.